This is a long non-coding RNA of Haliotis rubra (blacklip abalone), 412 nucleotides long. RefSeq lists it as uncharacterized. The transcript is spliced from 3 exons. The record is from RefSeq and is a predicted model, not a curated record. Lineage: Eukaryota; Metazoa; Mollusca; Gastropoda; Lepetellida; Haliotidae.
AACAGAAUGCCCAGAUUCCUGUGACAGCUUGAAAGAAGCGCCCCAAGCGGAGAUACACCAUGCCAUGAUGAUAGCAGUGGCCCUUGCCCAUCGUCACCGUCAUCAUCACCAUCAUCAUCACUCCUCGUCCGUCAAACACAUCCACCACUACGAGUCGGGAUCAUCGGGAUCUUCAGGAUCUUCAUCCUCCGGAUCAUCGGGAUGCGGUUGUGGAGGAAGCUCCGGAUCUUCUGAAUCCUCAGAUGAAGAUUACCCCAUCCCAAUCCCAAUCCCAAUCUCCAGCGGUGGCGGAAGCAGCGGCAGCAGCAGUUCCUCCGACGCCGCCCUUCUACAGGCUCUCAUCAACGCUGGCAAAUAAAUGAAACGACUGCACACGUCCUCAACGGUCCUGCGUUUUUUAUGUUGUUACUGU